Long non-coding RNA from Schistocerca piceifrons (Central American locust), 1506 nucleotides. RefSeq lists it as uncharacterized. The record is from RefSeq and is a predicted model, not a curated record. Lineage: Eukaryota; Metazoa; Arthropoda; Insecta; Orthoptera; Acrididae. The transcript has 3 exons.
UGAAUCACUGAGUAGUGUUCGUUACAGACAAUAUUCUACAAAUCUGUGUAGUUUUUGCGCGUGUUUCUUUGUAACUCAUGGGACCGUAAAAGAAAACGGAUCUGUCAAAACAAACCCAGAGUUUUCCUAGCUAACCCUAGCACCAUCACCUCCACAAUCCGCCACUUGACCCCAUCUGCACCAUUGGCCUUACUCACACUGGAUUGCUAUAGAAUGUUAUCAGAAGUACUUGUGGACCUUGUCUGGCAACUGGUACCAGCACAGUCGACCUCCACGCAGCAUGGCUUCGCAACCAAAGCAUGCAGUUUCGUCGAACAGUGGGAUGGUCAUGAGAGGUAAAUUUUGGGAGUUACUGAAUUAAAGCUGUGGUAACGGUACUCACGACUCCAGAGAGUACUUCACCACUAUCGGUAAGCUGCAUUCGAAACCCUCACAGUACAGCAGCUAUAUGGGUCAGCAGUACAAACUAUACUGAGGACUGCCAGGGGCCGCAGCUGCCAACCCAUAGGCAUCAUGUGUGUGGAUAGCGAGUCAGUCCCUUGUCAAAUUCUGAAGCACUGAGCUAUGGCAGAUUGUUCUCUUUAGUGCAUCGAGUUGUGUAUAGUCUCCAGUUACCGCUAAGUCUAUAAGCUGCAGUGUUCAUCCAUCAUCUUCGAGACUUUGGCUCCAUAGGCAUCGUGGGCCAGCUCUGGACUCUACAUAGGCAUCACUCAGAGGCACAGUGACAGGACUUUAAUAUUUUAGAGAACUUGAAAUAUAAUUUCAAAUGUCUGAUUAUUCUGGACAUUUCACAAGAAGAAUCAUUUAAGUUAAGUAUUUCUUCAUAUUUAAUAAGUAUCAUUUUAUUACUAGUUGUUGGGAGUCUUUGUGAUUGAAGGUAACCUACACCGUCAUUCCCAACGCAGGCAGCUCCAUUGCAGCUGUGUGAGGCAGGCAGUCAGGCAUAGAUGCAUAGAAGUAGUGUAAUGGCACAACAUGGGUGCUUCUAUUCACUAUAAAUACAGUCUGUUUCUAGCACAGUUACGUGCUGUUUGGCAGCAGCUCCUCGACAUUGGGUCCAUGCUAGUUCACAGUAUGCCUCGGGCCAGCCAUCAGCUGACGCCAGUCAGUCAGUCAGAGCAUCCAGCUCAAUCAGACCAGCUUACAUUUCUAAGUCCACCUUAUGGACUUCAGUGACACAAUGAGGGUAAUCCUCCAGGUGCCACAGCAGCACCAGACUUCUGCCUCGAAGGGCAGCAGUUCACAGCAAGGGCAGUAUUGCUGCCACCUCUUUGCGCCAGGGCAAGUUUAUAACCCAGCAGCCGCGGCCACCUGUGGGAAUGUAGUGGACGUAUGUGUCACUGACACAUAGGGCUGCAUAAUGCUACCUCAGGCACGCACCAGUGAAUGAGGUAAACACAGUCAGCAAAGUGCUUUAGAAGACAAGAAUCUCUUUCGAAUGUGCGAGGAAUGAAGGAAAUUGUAUAUAAUCCAAUCAAAAUUAAAAAUAACAAUUUUAAAAUCGUA